Non-coding RNA from Caenorhabditis elegans, 210 nucleotides. NCBI's taxonomy places the organism in Eukaryota, Metazoa, Nematoda, Chromadorea, Rhabditida, Rhabditidae. The record is from Ensembl.
AUAUGUUCUUCUUUCGUUCCAUUUGACAUGUUAAUUUAUACAAUAUCAGUAGAUUCUCGAUUUUCGUGUUAAAUGUCAAUUCGGUUUCAUGUGCUCUUUGAAUUCCCCGAGGACCGGUCCCGUGUCAGCGGCCAUUGUAAUUAUGUUUCAGUUAAUUAUCAAGAUACAUAUGCAUCGAUGAGAAUUAUAACCAGCUCUUCUAUUCUCAAU